UAGGGAAUCUUCGGCAAUGGACGAAAGUCUGACCGAGCAACGCCGCGUGAGUGAAGAAGGUUUUCGGAUCGUAAAACUCUGUUGUUAGAGGAGAACAAGGACGUUAGUAACUGAACGUCCCCUGCCGGUAUCUAACCAGAAAGCCACGGCUAACUACGUGCCAGCAGCCGCGGUAAUACGUAGGUGGCAAGCGUUGUCCGGAUUUAUUGGGCGUAAAGCGAGCGCAGGCGGUUUCUUAAGUCUGAUGUGAAAGCCCCCGGCUCAACCGGGGAGGGUCAUUGGAAACUGGGAGACUUGAGUGCAGAAGAGGAGAGUGGAAUUCCAUGUGUAGCGGUGAAAUGCGUAGAUAUAUGGAGGAACACCAGUGGCGAAGGCGGCUCUCUGGUCUGUAACUGACGCUGAGGCUCGAAAGCGUGGGGAGCAAACAGG
This 429-nucleotide ribosomal RNA is filed under the name Gemmatimonadota bacterium. RNAcentral's name for it is "Gemmatimonadetes bacterium partial 16S ribosomal RNA". It matches the Rfam family "Bacterial small subunit ribosomal RNA", at positions 355 to 776 of the family's 1533-position model. Lineage: Bacteria; Pseudomonadati; Gemmatimonadota. The record is from RNAcentral.